GGAAUUUUCCGCAAUGGGCGAAAGCCUGACGGAGCAACGCCGCGUGAGGGAUGAAGGCCUCUGGGCUGUAAACCUCUUUUCUCAAGGAAGAAGAUCUGACGGUACUUGAGGAAUAAGCCACGGCUAAUUCCGUGCCAGCAGCCGCGGUAAUACGGGAGUGGCAAGCGUUAUCCGGAAUUAUUGGGCGUAAAGCGUCCGCAGGCGGCCUUACAAGUCUGUCGUUAAAGCGUGGAGCUUAACUCCAUUUCAGCGAUGGAAACUGUAAGGCUAGAGUGUGGUAGGGGCAGAGGGAAUUCCCGGUGUAGCGGUGAAAUGCGUAGAUAUCGGGAAGAACACCAGUGGCGAAGGCGCUCUGCUGGGCCAUAACUGACGCUCAUGGACGAAAGCCAGGGGAGCGAAAGGGAUUAGAUACCCCUGUAGUCCUGGCCGUAAACGAUGAACACUAGGUGUCGGGGGAAUCGACCCCCUCGGUGUCGUAGCCAACGCGUUAAGUGUUCCGCCUGGGGAGUACGCACGCAAGUGUGAAACUCAAAGGAAUUGACGG
This 544-nucleotide ribosomal RNA is filed under the name uncultured bacterium. RNAcentral describes it as "bacterial SSU rRNA". It matches the Rfam family "Bacterial small subunit ribosomal RNA", at positions 358 to 916 of the family's 1533-position model. The record is from RNAcentral.